Molecule: ribosomal RNA, 200 nt
Filed under: uncultured bacterium
Lineage: Bacteria
Description: partial 16S ribosomal RNA
Rfam family: Bacterial small subunit ribosomal RNA
Source: RNAcentral
UACGGGGGAGCAAGCGUUGUUCGGAUUUACUGGCGUAAAGGGCGCGUAGGCGGUCGUGACAAGUCACUUGUGAAAUCUCCGGGCUUAACUCGGAACGGUCAAGUGAUACUGUCGGACUAGAGUACAGAAGGGGCAACUGGAAUUCUCGGUGUAGCGGUGAAAUGCGUAGAUAUCGAGAGGAACACCUGCGGCGAAGGCGG